UUCUAAUAUGGCAGAUUAGUGCAGUGGAUUUAAGCUCUACAUAUAAAGUUUUCGCCUUUUGUUAGAAA
Molecule: transfer RNA, 68 nt
Filed under: Opisthoplatia orientalis
Lineage: Eukaryota; Metazoa; Arthropoda; Insecta; Blattodea; Blaberidae
Description: tRNA-Leu
Source: RNAcentral